This 108-nucleotide microRNA precursor is filed under the name Canis lupus familiaris (dog). Its description in RNAcentral is "mir-8834 microRNA precursor family". It matches the Rfam family "mir-8834 microRNA precursor family". The record is from Rfam by way of RNAcentral. RNAcentral also lists the same sequence under 1 other name. Lineage: Eukaryota; Metazoa; Chordata; Mammalia; Carnivora; Canidae.
AGGAGGAACAGCAACAGUGGCUGCGGCCAGCUCUUCAGCCCUGGAGUCAGCUCCCGCAGUAACUAUGGCAGCUCCCAGUCCGCAGGGGCCUGGAUGCUCCGGGGGCGC